UUUUAAUUUUAAUUAUUUUCUAAUUUUUCAUUGUCCGUACUUGAUUACUUAAGAGUAACAUUAUUUUAAAAGCAUGCAGUCCAAAAGUUCAGACAUCUGAGAAAUACAACAAGCAAAUUAACCUUCUAUUUUUGCAUCUGCAGAAAAUGUCUCAAGAACCAGACGUAAAUAAGGAUUGCAAUAGAGAGGCUGAAGAAGAAAUGCAGAGGCAUGGAAGUAAUAACGUGGGAAUAUCAGUAAACCUGACUGAUGGUGCUGCUGCUGGCAAUGGUGAUGAUGGAUUAAUUCCACAAAGAAAGAGCAGAAAACCUGAAAAUCAGCAAUUUCCUAGCACAGAGAAUGAAGAAUAUCAUAGGCCUGAAAAGAAAUUUAAUGAAAAGAACAAGGUCAAAAGUGAAAUACAUUCAGUGGAUGACCUGGAUGACAUAACGUGGCCAUCUGAAAUAGCCUCAGAGGAUUAUGAUUUGCUUUACCCUAAUUAUGAGACUUUUAUGUUGCUCGCUGAACAACACAAAAUGGAUUUUAACGGUUCUACUAGCCUAUCAAAAAUCCAGGAUGCAGUUCUUUCAGAUGAAUAUUUAUUAGAACUUAAAAAUAAUCACCGUGAACAACUUACAGUAGAAAUUGAAAAAAUGGAAAAUAUGAUUCAUGUACUACAAAAGAAGCUGUCUGAAGCAAAAGAAACACAAUUACAGUUAGAGCAUGAAAAAGAUGAAUGGGAGCAAGAACUCUCUGCUUUGAGAAUACAAAUGAGUGGAAGCUAUCUUCUCCUCCCUGCAAAAUAAAGCAGUCACAGAGACUAUGAAGAUCUUCAAGUGAAAAGCCUGUUACCUCACUCCCUACCUGAAUGCUGGCCAAGAUGUAGAAACUUGGUGAGUCAGCCCCAUGCUGCUAGAGCUGAGAGAGAGAAGAUUCUUGAAGGAAUGUGCCACAUGUUAACCAGAGGAGAUAAUUGUAUGAGUAUUACCUUAAGAAUUCUGACAACAGGGCUUUGGUGGGACUUAUCCACUAGCAAGGCAAGGAGUAAGGGGCACAGAAUUUUAUGUGGAAGGUAAUGAGGGGGUCACAUGGAUCAAGUAGAUAUUUCGGAGAAGACCUAGGCUUGAAUGAACUGGACAGUUUCCUCUCCACAGGACAAAAAAACCUCAAAAAGGAGGCUAUGUGGACUGAGUCACAGAAGGAGCCUUAUAAGAAGUCAGCCAGACAGUGGCGAUGUCAGCAAGAUGGCAGAAUAGAAGGUUCUUACCCUGGUUUUCUCACUGAAACACCAAUUUAACAAUAUCUAUGAAAGAGAGCACCUUUGUAAGAGUUCCAGAACCCAGGGAUUGAGCACCCCAGUAAUGCACAAAAGCCCAGGAAAACUACAUUAAAAAGCAUAAUUUAAAAAUUUCUGUUUUAUCCAUAUCUCUGGUGCCAAGAAAGAUAUCCUCACUCUGAUUUCUCCAGUGAGCUAAAGAAAGACCAAGGUGGGUGUUCAACUCACCCAGCAUUUGGGGCCCUUCCCAAGAGGCCCACUUCUGUCUCACCUCAAACAGAACACGGAGGAAAUGAGCAUGGCUAGGCCACCUGGGAACAGCUAGGAACAAAGAAAGAUGGUGGUGUCUUUCAGUGGCCAGGGUGCAUGGAUCUUGGCAGUAGUCCACAGCCAGAGUCAUCAACCUGGCCUGACUGAAGCCCCUCUCUCUGGCCUCACCUGUUCAUGAACCAAGCCAGCUGGCCCACACUACUGCAAAGCAGAAGCAGCAAGCUGCUUCUGACCACAGACUCUGGAGACACUGACAGAAGGCGUAUCCAUUCACAGAUGCAACCAUCUGGCUUGCCAACAUCUCAGGAGAGGCUGACUGGUGAAGGGUUUUCCACUGGAAAAGCCAGCUUGUAAAGACUAGAAGGAGGUGGCUCCUCCUUCAAAUGAACCACCAAUGUAAGAAUACAAAGAUUACAAACUACAAAAGAAAACUAACAGAGCUCCAAAAACUGACCCUAAAUAAACAGACAUUUAUAAACCACUUGAGAUAUAACUGAAAACAGUCAUCUUAGAUAAGUUCAGUGAACUACUAGAGAACAUAGAUAAGCUCAGUGUACUACUAGAGAAUAGAUAAAUAAGGAAACUAUAUGAAUAAGAAAAGUCCACAAGGGGAGGCAGAGCAAGAUGGUGAAAUGGAAUGCUCCACUGGCUGUCCUUCUGCAAGGACACCAAUUUUAAAACUACAUGAAAAAAUACCGUAGCCAGAAAUUAGGUGAGCACUCAUAGUACCUGGUUUUACUUUAUAUCACUGAAAGAGGCACCGAAGAGACAGAUAAAAAACAGUCCUGAGUUAUUAACAUCACUCCUCUCUUGCCCCCAGCAGCAGCAUCAUGGUGUGGAGAUUGUCUCUGAGCACUAGGGGAGGGAGAACACAGCAAUUGUUAGGCAUUGAACUCAGUGCUUUUCUGUUAGAAUAGAUAGGAAAACCAGACCAGACUCAGCUGAUGCCUGCCCACAGAGGGAGCAUUUAAACCAGCCCUAGCCAGAGGGCAUUUGCUGAUCUCAGUGGUCAGAACUUGUGUUCUCGCAAACCUCACUACUGAGGGCUACAACACUCUGUCUCUCAGUAAACUUGAAAGGCAGUCUAGACCAUAAGGACUACAAUGCCUAGGCAAGAACUGGGCCCAGAGACAGUGGACUACAGUGGACUGGUUGGGGGCAGGGUGGGGAAACAUGACCUACUGAGACACAAGGGAGCACUGACGUCACUCUGAUACAGGAACUGAAAAGAUAUUAUUUAGGCAGAUAGGGUAAAAGUCCUCAGUAAGGUUUUCCUUUCAAUAAAAAGCAACCCCCAAAUCAUUUUUUUUUUUUUUUUUAAAAAUGCAGCCUGAAAAAUCAAGCUGCACACAUAGACAACUUGCAUAGAUAAAUGCUGGCAGCUGUGCCAGUAGAAAGGGAUACUUGGAAGUCAGGUAUAGUCAACAUGGAAGUUCCCUUUUUCUGUUUUUUUGUCACCACAUGUGCAGUAAAAAGCAGGCAACAUGGUGCCAGCCUGUUAGAGACCGAAUUUGCAUAAUAAAAGAUCAGGGUGGGGUGGUCAGCCUCUUUGUGCACUAUGUAAAUGGCACACCUGGUUUAACCAAUCCUCUGUGCCCUUUGUAAAUCAGACACCACUUCCUCAAGCUCAUCUAUAAACGACUGCAUCUCACUGUGAACCCAAAAACCAUUUGGGACCUCUUUGCACAAGAAAGCUCUCUUCUUUCUUUUGCCUAUCAAACUUCUGCUAUUAAACCCACUCCUUGUGUGUGUGUCUGUGUCCUUGAUUUCCUUAGCAUGAGGCAAUGAACCUUGGGUACUACCCCAGAUAAAUGACACAGCUUCAUUGUGGGGGAUUGUCUGGGAUUAUCAAAAGGGUGAGUAUAUAGGAGUGGACCUCAACUCUGUCCUUUCAUUUCAGGGCUCUCCGCCUCCAUUUUAUUUAUUUAUUUUUAUUUAUUUUUGAGACAGAAUCUCACUAUAUCACUCAGGUUGGAGUGCAGUGUCAUGAUCUUGGUUCACUGCAACAUCCAUCUCCCAGGUUCAAGUGAUUCUCGUUGCUCAGCCUCCUAUGUAGCUAGAAUUACAGAUAUGUGCCACCACACCCGGCUAAUUUUUGUAUUCUUUAGUAAAGAUGAGGUUUUACCAUACUGGUCAGGCUGGCCUCGAACCCCUGGCCUUAAGAGAGCUGCCCACCUCAGUCUCCCAUAGUGCUGGAAUUAUGUGUGAGCCACCACACCUGGCCCUUGGCCUCCAUUUUAAAAUCAAAUCAGACCAUAUAUUGUGUGUCUGAUGGCCAUCUGGAUGCCUCUAGGGUGAGCUGUGGUUCUCAAGUCUUAUGACAGGCUUUUUGGAGAGAACAUGGUGAAUACCCCAGUGCCCUCAGAUUGCUGGACAUGUUGGCUAUGUUUCAAACUGGUUUCCCUUCAUGGAAGACCUAGCCAUCUCAUGGGGCUAGAAGAGGUCCUGGAGCAACUGAGGAUUUCUGGCCAGGGCUACACCCUGUUGUUAUUCAAAGGCUUCUGGACUGACUCAGCCUCCAACUGCCCAAUCAGAUUGGCAACAGGAUCUCCAGUUUUUUUUAAUUGCAAAUGUUCUCCUUUGCUGUCCAUGACCAUCAUGUCUUCUAUCCUCUCUCUCUCUCUCUCUCUACGCGAUGCUUGUGAAGGCAGCAGCUUUCUCCUCAAACCCAAAGGAUGGGAAGCUUUCCAGGAGAGGCCUGGCAGAUAGACUUCACCCACAUGUCAAAGGUGAAGGGCAUUCAACACCACCUGGCAUGGGUAGAUACUUUCACACUUUCACUAACUGCAUAAAAACCUCUCCAUCCCAUACAGAAAACACCUCUGAGGUAAUAAAGCUGUUUUUCUGUUUUGUUGUUGUUGUUGUUGUUUUGUUUGUUUGUUUUUUAAGAUGUAGUUUCACUCUCAUUGCCGAGGCUGGAGUGCAAUUGUGCGAUCUCGACUCACCGCAUCCUCCACCUGCCAGUUUCAAGCGAUUCUUCCUCAGCCUCCCAAAUAGCUGGGAUUACAGGUAUGUGCCACCAUGUCCG
Molecule: long non-coding RNA, 4553 nt
Filed under: Cercocebus atys (sooty mangabey)
Lineage: Eukaryota; Metazoa; Chordata; Mammalia; Primates; Cercopithecidae
Description: lncRNA (ENSCATG00000045432.1)
Source: RNAcentral